CAAGGAGACGGGAACAUGGAGC
Molecule: microRNA, 22 nt
Filed under: Homo sapiens (human)
Lineage: Eukaryota; Metazoa; Chordata; Mammalia; Primates; Hominidae
Description: hsa-miR-4428
Source: miRBase by way of RNAcentral